AAACUCCGAUUACCGGACUAUUGAAUGAUUCCUGUGAUCACAAUUACGACCUGAAGGUUUGAUGAUCUCGCUGAGAUUACUUGCACAUUUAGCAAAAUAUGACGGAAGAUAUAAUAAAUCAUCUAUUAAGCGGGAUAUACGAGAUAUGUUUGACUUGGUAUUAAUUAUCUGUAUUAUGUACGAAGCUCAACCUUAUAAUUUCUUGUUUAUUUAACAUUGUAACUGAAAUUCAGAAAAAAUCUCACAUCAAACUAACAUGACACAGUAUGAAAGGCUUGAACCAGUAUGCACAAGAAAAUUAGGUUGAUGACACCAAGAAUAUGAAACAUUUAAUAAAGAACACAACAUUAAAAGAUUGCUCACAUGUAUAUAGCUACUUCCAUUAGCAACUAUAUCUUAACUACUGCUUCUUUACCACAUCUACUCUUUAUAUAAUAACAACCAUGCCAAUCAUAUAAUCUAUGUCUUGUAAAUUUCAUCAACCCAACUUUAUUUCAGAUGAAAGAUCAGCUGAGCUUUUCAGCUUUUACAAGAGAUGAAUCCAACAUGGGAAUGAUAAUGGUAGUAGCUUCCAUGAUUUUGUCAUGGCUUUUCAUCUACAGAUGGAACCAGAGAACGAAAAAAGGCCCAAAAACAUGGCCAUUGGUGGGAGCUGCCAUCGAACAACUGAUGACUUAUGAUACAAUGCAUGAUUGGCUAGUAAAAUAUCUUGAAGAGUCAAGAACUGUGGUGGUGCCGAUGCCAUUUACAACAUAUACUUACAUUGCUGAUCCUGCCAACGUCGAACAUGUGCUGAAGACAAAUUUUGCUAAUUACCCGAAGGUGAAAGUAUCGACUCCUUUUUAUUACUUAGUCUAGAGUUUUUUUCUAUGAGAAACUCAUGAAAAGACUUUGUUUAUUUUAUAGGGUGAUGUAUACCACUCAUACAUGGAAGUAUUGCUUGGAGAUGGUAUAUUUAAUGUAGAUGGAGAGCUUUGGAGGAAACAGAGGAAGACAGCAAGCUUUGAAUUUGCUUCUAAGAACUUGAGAGAUUUCAGCACACUAGUUUUCAGAGAAUAUAGCCUCAAACUCUCUGAUAUUCUGAGUCAAGCAUGUUUUCAGAAUCAAGAAGUAGACUUGCAGGUGACUCCUGAGAAACCCUCAGAUUAUGUAUCCAUGACUAAGUUAAAAUUUUGUUUUGACAGGUGUUAAAGAUUUCCUCUUUUGUAGGAAUUAUUAAUGAGGAUGACUUUGGACUCCAUCUGCAAGGUGGGAUUUGGUGUUGAAAUUGGAACACUAGCUCCUCAUCUACCAGAAAACCGUUUUGCGCUGGCAUUUGACACUGCAAACAUAACUGUUACCCUACGAUUUAUAGAUCCUUUAUGGAAAGUGAAGAAGUUCCUCAAUGUGGGCUCAGAAGCUGUUUUAGACAAGAGCAUUAAAAUCAUAGAUGAUUUUACUUAUUCGGUUAUCCGCAGGAGAAGGGCGGAAAUAGAAGCUGAAAAGAUUAAUAAAAUGGACAAGGUAUAUGAUUUAGCUCCUGAUCAUUAUUCCUAUGCUAUUCCACCAUUUAAAUUAUAUACUUGACAACAAUUUCAGGUAAAGAACGAUAUACUGUCGAGGUUCAUUGAACUAGGAAAAGACCCUGAAAAUAACAUGACUGAGAAAAGCCUCAGAGAUGUUGUCCUGAACUUUGUUAUUGCUGGAAGAGACACCACUGCCACAACUCUGACCUGGGCAAUAUACAUGAUCAUGACACAUGAUAAAGUAGCAGAGAAGCUACACUUAGAUCUCAAAGCUUUUGAAGAAGAGCGGGCUAAAGAAGAGUGUGUGUCAUUACAAUCUUAUGAGACAAAUGACCCUGCAUCUCUCAGUCAGAGACUGAAGCAAUAUGCAGGACUCAUGAAUUAUGACUCACUAGGAAAGCUACACUACUUGCAUGCAGUGAUCACAGAAACACUUCGACUGUACCCUGCGGUCCCUCAGGUAAUUCCAAAACUCAUACAAGAGUAUUAUUGAGAUAGUGAGCCAGCAAUCUUCUUUCUGUAUUUCUAUUCUAAUUUAAAAAUUUCACACACAUUGACCGGAUGAAACAAAACUACGAGUAUCAGGAUCCAAAGGGUAUCUUAGAGGAUGAUAUAUUGCCUGAUGGAACCAAAGUAAAAGCAGGAGGAAUGGUGACUUACGUGCCAUAUUCCAUGGGUAGAAUGGAGUACAACUGGGGUCCUGAUGCAGCUUCAUUUAAACCUGAGAGAUGGCUCAAAGAUGGGAUUUUCCAAAGUGCAUCUCCAUUCAAGUUCACUGCAUUCCAGGUAAAUAUAUGAAGCAAUAAGAAUAUUAAAGUUUGUAUUUAUAUUCGUGAUCAUAAAUCCAUAAUAAUAUAACAGUGGACUACAAUAAUAUAUGCUGGUAAUAUAUUACCUGACCUGGUUACAUAUUUUUCGAUAUGCAGGCUGGUCCGAGGAUUUGCCUAGGAAAGGACUCCGCAUAUCUCCAAAUGAAGAUGGCAGUGGCGAUUUUGUGUAGAUUUUUCAAAUUUGAAUU
RNAcentral lists this long non-coding RNA (2523 nucleotides) under Daucus carota (carrot). Its description in RNAcentral is "long non-coding RNA (DCAR_LNC005769)". The record is from RNAcentral. Lineage: Eukaryota; Viridiplantae; Streptophyta; Magnoliopsida; Apiales; Apiaceae.